GGGCUCGACUCCUGUUCCUGCUGAACUGAGCCAGUGUGUAAAAUGAGAACUGAUAUCAGCUCAGUAGGCACCGGAGGGCGGGUCC
MicroRNA precursor from Ailuropoda melanoleuca (giant panda), 85 nucleotides. Lineage: Eukaryota; Metazoa; Chordata; Mammalia; Carnivora; Ursidae. The record is from Ensembl.